UCCCUGCUAACACACGACGUAACAGUUACGUAACGUACUGGUAAUUUUUGGUAAUUCCAUGACUUACCAAUUGACAACGUAACUACGACGUCGCAUGCCCGUAAUUUUAUUACCAUCACAUUACCAACUCACAACGUCGUCAGUACGUCCUUCCAACGUGACCAGAUAACCAAGAACGUCCCAGAUAGGUCCUCUAUUGGUAAUAUAUUGGUAACUUCAUGACUUACUGGCAACGUAACUACAACGUCGUAUGCACGUAAUAUCAUUACCAUAUAUUUUUUUUACGUUCUUUAUAUGCUCUCUGAGUAUAGAGCCAUUUAAAAAGUGUAAUUAAACUUCAGACUCAAGAUUAAACGUUCCUUAAAGAUAAAAUAUGUUUCUUUUCACCAAGUCAGAAUAUGGACAUGCUUUUAAUAUAUAGUGACGUGACAUACAGGCGCGCGCUUCCGCAACUGACGCACCGCGCGCACAGUAUUGACAAGAAAAGAGUUGUGAAACUUUCUAUCUCGUAAGGAGUUAUGAACGUGAAAUAGUGACACAGACUGGCUACACCAUCUCAUCUGCAGCAGAGAUUGUUGUAUCAGAAGGACAGCGCGUUUGUUUGACGCACUUUUCACUUCAACUGUGUCUGACAGGAGAAUUAGCUUUCUGAGCCUUCUAGCCGUUGAGUUACCAUGGCAACCGCGUACACAUCAGCUGCUGGAGAGGAGAGGACUCGUCUGACAUUUUCUCUGUUUCUCGUCAGUUAUACCAAAGAAAAGGCCAACAACUGCGACAGAUUUGUUAAGUAACACGUUAAUAUCAUCCACAGUCUACUUUAAGUACUUUUUGUUAAUAUUUAUACCUCUGCGAUUAUGGUAUUUUUCCUGAAAUGUCUGCUAUCAAGUAUUACGCUAGCAUAGAAACAUAAUUAACGUUAUAGCAUAUUAGAUUUGAGCCCUUAUUAAUGAAAGUUUGGCCUUUUAAUUACAUCUUAUGCCUAAAGGAUCGGUUUUGGUCGUUUUGUAAAUGUUUUUGAUGGUAAUUUGUCAAUAGAUAAAUGAAAUAAAGUUAAGCUAAUUAAUUUAACCUAAAAAUCUGCAUUGUAGAGUCUAUCAGUGACGUCACUCGUGGUCUAAAAUGGGCUGAAACUAUUUCAAACCACUGUUUCAAGCUUGUUCUGAUUUAUCAUUGUAAACAAAUAUUGAUAAAAAAAAUUGUACAGUGAUUUCAGGAGUGUCUUAAAAACCCUCUAAAACAGAGGAGAAGUUCCAAGAAAAUGUCUAACGGGACCUGCUGACAGAGAUAGAAAACACAGGUGAUGCUACAAAGCUUAUUAAAUAACUUCAUAUUUAUUUUUUACAAUAUAUCAUCAUGCAUCUGUAAAAUCUAAACAUGUGAAUUCUGGUAUCUAAAGAUUUUUGUAUGUUUUCCAUAUUGCUAUUUUUCUUUUCUGCAUUUCCCCUAUUCUCUAGUUUGUUUAUUUCUAAUAAGGAGCUGGAGGCCGUGAAGAUACAGAUCCAUGAUAUUGUGGAGAAGCAGGCCCAGCUGAGCGAGUGGAGAGCUGUGCUGGAAAUAUUCAGGGGUUGAUGCUCAUAAGUCCAGGGUAAGUAUACAGCUAACCCUACUACCACCUCUACUCUGUGUGGUUCUCUGCAAAGGCCCGGUGUACCCAGGAUGCGAUCUUCCCAGAUGUCCUUCACCCUAUUUCAUAGUGUAAGACAUGAUCCAGGCCCUGGGCGACGACCUCUCUCCAUCCGCCGCCUCCGGUCUUCAGGAUCUCCACCAGAACCCGAUUCGCUCCACUUCGCGAGACAGAACAAAACGCUGUGAUCAUCAGAGACUCCAUCGUCCGGCACGUUUGCGCUAUGUUAGCUGAAGGUAAAGUCCACACUGACUACUUCCCUGGUGCUCAUGUUCUUGAUAUUUCUGCACAGAUUCCCGUGACCCUGAAGAGUGAGGUGGGCAUCAGAGCGGACGGAGACACUGAAGAGGGACUUCAGGAGCCUGAUCAAGACAGUGCGCAGCAUAUCGCCUGCAUGAUGAUCAUCGUGUCAGGACCACUUCCCACGUAUAGAUGAGGACAUGAAAGGUUCAGCAGACUUUUUGCUUUAAACGAAUGGUUAUAGUCAUGGUGUAAAGAACAGAAACUGCCUUUUGUUAAUAAUUGGAAUCUUUUCUGGGAGCUAGGCUUUUUAGAUCUCCUGUUGGACAACAUCUCCAGGACACUUCGCUCCAUAUGACUAUUUGUGAAAAGAGAUAAUCAAGAGAAGUCAGUUCCAGAUCCACCCUCCACACCAGACCUCUCUCUCACGAGGAUUGCUGUCUACUAGCAUAUUGUGUUCUUCAGCUCUUCAGACUUCGGUGGAUGCAGAUAUUACUCAGGGACAUGAACACUAGAAUAUUGCAAGAAUAGAGAAAAGGGACUUUGCGGGGGAUUCUUGAAAAUAGAUUAGCUUCACACAGACGUCUUCUAACUGUCACAGUACUUACAGGUAACUCCAGACUGUCUUUGAUCAUCCUGGAGGUGAUCAUUGGCUGAGCCUUUGCCAUUCUGGUUAUUCUUCUAUCCAUUUUGAUGGUUGUCUUCCGUUUUCUUCCACGUCUCUCUGGUUUUGCUCUCCAUUUUAAGGCAUUGGAGAUCAUUUUAGCUGAACAGCCUAUCAUUUUUUGCACCUCUUUAUAGGUUGUCCCCUCUCUAAUCAACUUUUUAAUCAAAGUACGCUGUUCUUCUGAACAAUGUCUUGAACGACCCAUUUUCCUCAGCUUUCAAAUGCAUGUUCAACAAGUGUUGGCUUCAUCCUUAAAUAGGGGCCACCUGAUUCACACCUGUUUCUUCACAAAAUUGAUGACCUCAGUGAUUGAAUGCCACACUGCUAUUUUUUUAAACACAUCCCUUUCAACUAAUUCAACUAAUUGCCCAAUUGCACAGCCUUAAGAGCGUGCAUAUCAUGAAUGCUGGGUCUCGUUUGUUUUCUGAGAAUCUACUGAACCUACUGGUAACUUGUUUGCCACGUAGCAAUAAAAAAAUAUACGAAAAACCUUGAUUAUUCUGGUUAAUCACAUUGUACUGCUAUUAUUUUGAACAAUACUGUAUAUAUUUAGAUAUAUUUUUGUGGCAGUGUGAACUGGCCAUAAUGCUGUAUGAUAGGUGUGAGAUUCAUUAAACUUGAUUUGCUAUAAUACAUCUGUUCAUAAGCUAUAGCAUAUUAUUUUCAAUGAAUUAUUUGUAGUGGUUUGGUUAAGGGUGUGAUUAGCUGAAGAUUAUUGUGGGAUCUUGUGAUUAGUUGAUGAAUGUGUGCAUUGUUAAUGAUAAUAUUUAAAUGCAAUGUACUGAGUGCCUACUAAGACUUGCAUGUUGUGCAUAAUGUUUUGACCCUGGAUGCUUACAGAAGGGUAUAGAUAUUUCAAUAUAUGGAAAUGUAUUUAUUAUUAAUAUAUCUCAAUCUAUGUGCUUCUGUAUGGGCUGAAUGCUUUCAUUCAUAUUUCGCUGUAUAUCCUGUUUUUAUUAAUAAUCUGGGUGUAUUACUGUUCAUAUUUGCUUGUUAAUAAAUUAACUGAAUUCA
Molecule: long non-coding RNA, 3545 nt
Organism: Carassius gibelio (silver crucian carp)
Lineage: Eukaryota; Metazoa; Chordata; Actinopteri; Cypriniformes; Cyprinidae
Exons: 5
Source: RefSeq, a predicted model, not a curated record